This 965-nucleotide ribosomal RNA is filed under the name uncultured bacterium. RNAcentral describes it as "bacterial SSU rRNA". It matches the Rfam family "Bacterial small subunit ribosomal RNA", at positions 401 to 1382 of the family's 1533-position model. The record is from RNAcentral.
GUGAGGGAUGAAGGCCUCUGGGCUGUAAACCUCUUUUAUCAAGGAAGAAGAUCUGACGGUACUUGAUGAAUAAGCCACGGCUAAUUCCGUGCCAGCAGCCGCGGUAAUACGGGAGUGGCAAGCGUUAUCCGGAAUUAUUGGGCGUAAAGCGUCCGCAGGCGGCCCAACAAGUCUGCUGUUAAAAAGUGGAGCUUAACUCCAUCAUGGCAGUGGAAACUGUUGGGCUAGAGUGUGGUAGGGGCAGAGGGAAUUCCCGGUGUAGCGGUGAAAUGCGUAGAUAUCGGGAAGAACACCAGUGGCGAAGGCGCUCUGCUGGGCCAUCACUGACGCUCAUGGACGAAAGCCAGGGGAGCGAAAGGGAUUAGAUACCCCUGUAGUCCUGGCCGUAAACGAUGAACACUAGGUGUCGGGGGAAUCGACCCCUCCGGUGUCGUAGCCAACGCGUUAAGUGUUCCGCCUGGGGAGUACGCACGCAAGUGUGAAACUCAAAGGAAUUGACGGGGGCCCGCACAAGCGGUGGAGUAUGUGGUUUAAUUCGAUGCAACGCGAAGAACCUUACCAGGGUUUGACAUCCUGCGAAUCUCUUGGAAACUUGAGAGUGCCUUCGGGAACGCAGUGACAGGUGGUGCAUGGCUGUCGUCAGCUCGUGUCGUGAGAUGUUGGGUUAAGUCCCGCAACGAGCGCAACCCACGUCUUUAGUUGCCAGCAUUUAGUUGGGCACUCUAGAGAGACCGCCGGUGAUAAACCGGAGGAAGGUGUGGAUGACGUCAAGUCAUCAUGCCCCUUACAUCCUGGGCUACACACGUACUACAAUGCUACGGACAAAGGGCAGCAAGUUCGCGAGGACAAGCAAAUCCCAUAAACCGUAGCUCAGUUCAGAUCGUAGGCUGCAACUCGCCUACGUGAAGGAGGAAUCGCUAGUAAUCGCAGGUCAGCAUACUGCGGUGAAUACGUUCCCGGGCCUU